GACGAACGCUGGCGGCGUGCUUAACACAUGCAAGUCGAACGGAAAGGCCCUGCUUGCAGGGUACUCGAGUGGCGAACGGGUGAGUAACACGUGGGUGAUCUGCCCUGCACUUCGGGAUAAGCCUGGGAAACUGGGUCUAAUACCGGAUAGGAGCCAUUUUUAGUGUGAUGGUUGGAAAGUUUUUUCGGUGUAGGAUGAGCUCGCGGCCUAUCAGCUUGUCGGUGGGGUAAUGGCCUACCAAGGCGGCGACGGGUAGCCGGCCUGAGAGGGUGGACGGCCACAUUGGGACUGAGAUACGGCCCAGACUCCUACGGGAGGCAGCAGUGGGGAAUAUUGCACAAUGGGCGCAAGCCUGAUGCAGCGACGCCGCGGGGGGGAGGACGGCCUUCGGGUUGUAAACUCCUUUCGCUAGGGACGAAGCUUUUUGUGACGGUACCUAGAUAAGAAGCACCGGCUAACUACGUG
Molecule: ribosomal RNA, 465 nt
Filed under: uncultured bacterium
Lineage: Bacteria
Description: partial 16S ribosomal RNA
Rfam family: Bacterial small subunit ribosomal RNA
Source: RNAcentral